This 667-nucleotide long non-coding RNA is filed under the name Penaeus japonicus. RNAcentral's name for it is "uncharacterized LOC122254890". Lineage: Eukaryota; Metazoa; Arthropoda; Malacostraca; Decapoda; Penaeidae. The record is from RNAcentral.
UAUUUGUGAAUAACAAACACCAAAACAUAUCUAAAUAGAAAAAAAAAAACACAUACAAGAACAAACCAAUAAGAAACAGGAAGAGCAAGAACAUAAUAAAACGAAUAAAAAAAAAGGCAAAAGUCCUUCACUUUCUAAGAAUCAAAGGAUCCAAAAAUUCAAAACCAUCUGAUCGAGGAAGGCGAGCUAGACAAGGUAGUGUAUCUGACGUCUCCAGGUCAGUGUAGAUCGAGCGGCGAGGGAGGCCGGACGCACGCUCGUAGUCGGCCAUUGUGUCUCGAAGAAACAAAGAAAAUAUACGAAACAAGAAAUCACAGACUCAGAAGUACGUAAGAAAAAAACAAAAAGCAAAAAGAAAAGAAAAGAAUUAUAAGCCUUAACAACGAGGGACAUAAGAGCGACAGAGAGAUAAGAACAGUGUUAAUUUCUUUGAUUAUCUUGUCAUGUUAUUAAGAACGCAGGGAGUGUGUUCUCACCCGUUCCUAAAGUGCUGUGGAAAUAAACGAGAAAGAGAAUGAGAAGAAGAAAGAAUUGAUGAAGACAAAACACGAAGGAAGGAAGCGAGAGCGAGAAAAAAGGAAUUUUUCGUGAUUUGUGAUACGUUUAGAAAUUUGAAGAAGGAAUAUUUAGAAAAAAAAGUGAAGAAAGAGAGAAACAGAGACUAAAA